UAUAUUAUAUAAUUAUUUUGAUUUUUUGCACUUAUUGAUUAUUUAUAUAAUUCAUUAUGAUUUCAUAUUCCAUCGCUUUAUUUUAUUUGUUUUUAAAAAAUAAGUUGAUAAAGCCACAUCUUAAUAUUAUUAAUACGACACCUCCUCCUUGCCAUUUCAUAAUUCAUUCACUCUAUUUCCUAUCUAUGACUUCAUCCUUAUUUCCAUUUUUUCUCCUCAAUUCUUGGCUUCUCCUUCCCCCCCUCUCUCCCUUGCCAUUUCAUAAUUCAUUUAUUUUAUCCCAUGUCCUUAUCCAUGUUCCUAUUUCUAGUUCUUAGCCUUCCACUCCAUAUCUAUUGUUCCUCAUUCUCAACCCUCUAUCUCCCAUCCUUCAUUUUCAAUCCUCCAUCUCCUAUCCCUCAAUCUCAACUUUCUACCUACACACCUCUUGUUUCUCCCAUCUCUUAUUCAUAAUCUCCACCUCAUAUUAUUUGUCCUUUAUUCUCAGUCUCUACUUCUUAUCAUUUGUCCUUCAUUCUCAACCCCUUACCCCAUGUCUUUUAUUUUCAAUCUCCUAUUUCAUGUCUCUCAUUCUCAACCUUCCACUUCCCGUCUCUUAUUUUCAAUUGUUAU
This 612-nucleotide long non-coding RNA is filed under the name Physcomitrium patens. RNAcentral describes it as "long non-coding RNA (PPAT_LNC006707)". The record is from RNAcentral. Lineage: Eukaryota; Viridiplantae; Streptophyta; Bryopsida; Funariales; Funariaceae.